Molecule: long non-coding RNA, 3075 nt
Organism: Mesocricetus auratus (golden hamster)
Lineage: Eukaryota; Metazoa; Chordata; Mammalia; Rodentia; Cricetidae
Exons: 3
Source: RefSeq, a predicted model, not a curated record
GAUUCAGUGUGAGGCCUGGCGUGGGCAAGGGGAGUCAGCCGGAACUGAAAUGUUAUCUCUUCUGACGGUGGGGCUGCCUGGCCUGACCUCGGGGACUUGGGGCUUCGCGAUCUGCAGGAAGCGGAGACCAGGUCUGAGCGCCGGGGCACGGGAGUGACCAGAGUAACAGGCCCAAACCUCGCUGGGUGUCCACCUCGCCCGGUAGGGUACAGCCAGGCUUCGUGAGGAGGGGUGUGCGUGUAUGUGGUGCAAAGGUUUCACACGUAAGUGGGCCCUCUACCACCGAGCCACGCAUGCCCAGUGUGGAACCUUCUGCUUUCCACAGAAGCACAGGAUCUCAGGCCACAUCUCAUCCCCAGGUAGGAACCUCUCUGAUGGCAUGAAAUCCUUUCAAGUCCCAAGCAAAUAAAACAAAUACCCAAAUUUAGGAAAGGGCCGGAUGGAGGGCUUCGUUCAGCUUGCUUUGGGCCUCAGUACUAAGUAGCUCACUUACACAUCUUGUCCUGUCCUAGACACUGUACAUAGGAUGGUGGCCACUAGAGGACAGCAGAGGCCCACACUAUCCUUUCAUCCUGGGAGGGAGGGGGGCAGAAUGGGGAAAGUAGGAAGGGUAGGGUGAAAAAUUUUCAGGCUUCCAUACUACCAGGUACAAAUGGCCUUUGGUAAAUCCCACCAAGGGGAGGGCCCGGAGACCCUAGUCAGGGCUGCAGGAAGGAAGUCUCGCUGACUCCCAGAGAAAGGGUGCGACUGGCCUAUACCUUUUGAUCCCUGACACUGGGUUGACUAACUUCUGCCUGGGCUCCUUGAGGCCAGGCAGUCAGAACUGCAGAGGGCUAACAGUCCAUCUGCCAGAGACUCCACCUCUAGCCCCGGCCUGGCCACCCCAGUCUUCUACCCACUGAGCCACCCGCUUCACAGAAAUGCGUUGUCCUGGCCCUGCCCCUUCCCCUAUAAUUCGGGGGUCCUUCGAAGAGGGCACAUCAGGGCUUGCAGUUCUUUCUGGAAAUUCUUGGGGCUUUUACAUGGAAGUUGACCUGUCCUCCAGCCCCAUUUGCUCAGCGAGGAAAGGACCCCUGGAGUGGAGGGUGGAGCCAGACUGGUCCCCUGGAGUGGAGGGCAGAGCCAGACUGGUCCCCGGAAGAGUCUGGCAACCUGUGUGCCUGCUCAGGAAAGCACAGCUCACCUGUACCGUCGCUUCCUCCGGGACCCAGACUCAGACCUGUGGAGUGGCAGACAAAUUCUUCUGAGUCUUCUUGGGCACAGCCACGGGGGGCACAGCCCAGGGAAUGAGACAGGCCACAGGGGGCAGGGGUGUGUGGAGAGGAGAGGUCCAGUUACCUAUCUCUGCGGUGCUUCUUCACACCCUUCUUCUUCUUGCGCAGGGGGGAGGCACUCCCACAGCUGUGGACACAGGGGUGAGUCACUGGUGAGCUGGGGGCAGAGGGGAGAGGAUGGGUGUGGCUGAAGGGGGCUGGGAAGAGGUGGCAGGCUAUUGCGCCCAGACUCCCUUGUAUAGAAUGAGAGCCUACGGACCAGGUGGGCAAAGACUCCUAAAAUUGAUACGACUGCCUGUCCCUUAGUUACCUUUCCUCCUGUGUGUGUGUGUGUGUGUGUGCAGAUGCACACCUGUGUGCACGCAGAGCCCAGAGGUCAACCUUGGACAUCUUUAUGAGGAACUAACCACAUAUGUUUAUUUAGUGUGUGUGCGUGCACACGACAUGGUGCAUGCAUGGAGCUCAGAGGACAGCCUCUGGAAAGUUCUCUUCUUCCACUAGGUAGUUCCUGGUGACUCCACACAGGUCAUCAGGCUUGGCUACAGUUUCUUUCACUGCUGAGCCAUCUCACCAGCCCGUGUUUUCUGAGUUGGGAUCUUUCACUGACUUCUGGGACAUGCCGCCUUGAAGAGGCAGGCCAGUGAGCUCGCUCCUCAAUUCCUUUGUGGUGUUGGCUUGUUUUUGAGACAGGCCUUUCUGUGUAGCCCAGGCUAGCCUUGCAUUCAUGGUCCUUCUACCUUGCCCCCCCCCCAAAGUGGUCUUGUAUAGGCGAAGGGAAGAAUUUAUUAUUUAUUUUUUUGAUGUUUGGAGACAGGGCUUCUCAGUGCAUCUUUGGCUGUCCUGGAGCUCACUCUGUAGACCAGGCUGACCUCAAACUCACAGAUCUGCCUGCCUCUGCCUGUGCUGGAAUUAAAGGCAUGUGCCACCACGCCUGGCUCGGGAAGAAAUGUUUUUCUGGUCUGGUGGUCUGGUUUUCUUAUGGUGCUGGAGACAGAAUCCAGAGCUGUGCACUUGGCAAACUCAUCAGCUCUGAGAUGUCUCCAGUCCUUGGGAUUUCUAGGCUGUGUAUGCAAACACUGGUACCAGAAAGUCCCGUGUCCAGCCCCUGAGGUGCCAGGCCUCUAGUCUCCGGAUGGUGGCCUUGCAUUCCUUCCCACCCACAGGUGCGCCCUCUGGGUCCCAGCCCUCCCCGCCCCCGCUCCUGCUCCCUCCAUCACUGACCUGCACUCUGACUCUAGUCUCCUCUUUUUGCUGAAGGUAAAUGCCAGAAAGAAAGGACAGACAGAUGGACCGUGUUAGCUAGUGGCCCCAGCUUGUACCUCAGGACAGAGGAGGGGGAGGACAUAGAAACGGGGGAGUUGUAGUUGAGGGCCAGUAAUGACCCACUUCCCAGGGACACCCACACUUGGAAUGGGGUUUACUUGAACCCAGGGCGGACGGUAAUACCCAGUGGGGGUGGGGCUUAGAGUGAGGCGGGGCUUAUCGAAUGGGCGGGACUGAGAGGGGUUAAGCUGCAGGCUAGGAAUCCAAGGGGGUGGGGCUGGUUUAAGUUAACUGGUCCCAAGGGUAGCAUCUGUGUCCGGUGUAUCCCCAAGGCCCCUCCCAGUCUCGCCCUAGGACCAUGCGCCGCUCUCACCGGCUCCUCCGAUGACUGCCUUUCUUUUUCUUCUUCUUCUUGGGAGGGGGCGAUGCGGAGCUGCUGGACCAGUGCUUGGUCCUGGGCGAGAAGGGGCGGCGGGGGCGGUGAGAGAGGCGGCCCGGUGUUGCCCUCCCCUCCGCCGCGGCGGCCGCUCACCUGUAC